CCCAAGCAGCUGGGACUACAGAAGUAGGAUGGUGACACCUCAGCCCUUCUGCGAGAAAAACAAGGGUGAUCCACAUCCCCCAUCCCUCAUCUUAAAGUCAGGUUCAUAACGGAUAAGGCCUCUGAUCAGCCAAAUAACAAGCUGGAGGACUCAGGAGGCCCUUGCUUUGGUUCCUAUUGGAACAAUACAACAUAGAACAGGGCCAAGAAAAGGGCAAAGGAAAUACAAAAGGACGCCUGGAAGAUUUGCACAGGGCAAAGGAUGACUUGCUGAGUUAAUUUAAAGUGAUGUAAAUUGCUAAGACAACACUGCAAAGCAUUCAUAUCAUUUUUUUUUUCAAGGAAGAAAAUCUAAACAUUUUCCUCAGGAUCUUCAAUAAUAAAAAUCUAUUUAUCAAAAAAAAAAAAAAA
Molecule: long non-coding RNA, 410 nt
Filed under: Homo sapiens (human)
Lineage: Eukaryota; Metazoa; Chordata; Mammalia; Primates; Hominidae
Description: long independently transcribed non-coding RNA 380 (LINC00380)
Source: RNAcentral